AGACGCUGCUGCGGCAGGGGUUCGCCGUGCGCGCCGGGGUGCCGGACCUCGCGUCCGCCCAGGAGCUGGCGCGGCUCGCCUCCGCGUACCGGCUCAUUUCCCCCACCGAGGCGCGCCGACUCAACGCGGUGGAGUCCGAUUUCGAGGACCCCGAGGCGAUCGCCAAGUCCAUCGGCCCUGCAACUAAGGUGGUGGUUACAGUCGGCGCAGCUGAGAAGGGGCCCGACGGCGGUGUGGUCACCACCGACGAGGCGCUCCGAGUUGUGCAGGCUGCUGACCUUGCCGGCG
RNAcentral lists this unclassified non-coding RNA (288 nucleotides) under Hevea brasiliensis (rubber tree). The record is from RNAcentral. Lineage: Eukaryota; Viridiplantae; Streptophyta; Magnoliopsida; Malpighiales; Euphorbiaceae.